Molecule: long non-coding RNA, 1111 nt
Organism: Myotis brandtii (Brandt's bat)
Lineage: Eukaryota; Metazoa; Chordata; Mammalia; Chiroptera; Vespertilionidae
Exons: 3
Source: RefSeq, a predicted model, not a curated record
ACCCGGAGACCUGCCCAGACCUCUGGUGCCAGCCGCGCGCCAUGCUGAAGCCUCUGGGUGCCUCCUGCCUCUCCCGGCUUUGCCAGGCUCGCUCCCGUUCUCUUGGCUGUGGGGACACCCGGGACACCAGGACCAUCACCUCCUGGUAAUCCCACCCCUCCGCCUCCGCUGCUCAGGGCUCCCUCCGGGCAGCAAACGCAGGGUCCGCCAGGGCUCGUUUUCGUGACCCGGGAGCUGAUCGUCGCUAACAGCGCUGGGAUCACGGUUCACCCGGUGGCCACCGGGCCAGGCCCGCGGGUCCUCCCAGACCCCAACCCGGAGCCCUCCGCCCCUCGUCCCUGUCAGCUCCCGGGUCAAGGGCGGCGAUCACGCUGCCGCUGGUCCCUCAACUUUCAUCCCUCUCGGGGAAGCGCUUUGUCUCUUUAAAGGAGACGGGGACCAUGAAUAGAAAUGGCUCAGAUUAGAGAGCUGUGCCUCUCUCAAGAGAAAUCACUCAUUGUGCCUCCAAAGAACUGUCUUGGUCCACCUGCUCUCAGACAAGACAAGGAGAGAAAUCAAGUCUUACCAAUGUGAUGGGGACAUGAAAACCAAGGCAUGCCCUGGGACACCUGCUGUAUCCUCCUGCCCUUCCAGAUGGUCCCUCCGCUACACCGUACACAGAAGCAAAGGUGAUCCCUGCUGAAGGAUCAUUCAAUUUGCAUUUCUUUCCGGUCUCUUCAUGCAAACCACAAAGGCAAUUGUCUCUAUCUCAGGCUGUCUGACAGGCACAGGUAAUGCUGGGGACACCACUAACACCUUAAAGAAAGAGAUUCUGAGAAGAAAGGUCAGAUAAUGAGUUCUUGGUCUAACCCUAGCCCUGGAACUGCAGAUCAGCUGUGGAAGAGUGUCAGAAAUCUGGGCACUGUGAGAGGAGACCCAUGUCUAGCUGUUGAGGGAGCGUUAAGCAACGCUUAACACUGAAUUAGCAAAAAUGGCACUUACUCGUUUUCCUAGCUACCAGUCCAGUGGCAUUUAAGACUAUACCUUUCUAAUAAAGGUUUACUCUAAAGAUUGGACAGCCAUCUUCAUUCAGUGCUAAAUCUUUCUUUACAACUUUAUGCAACCCCUUCUC